GUCGAGAAAAAUUAUUUUGCACAUUUUUUUUUAACAGACAUCGGUUAACAAAUUCUUGUCGUUUUUUUUUAAAUUAUGUAGCUUUUUAAAUUAAUAAUUUUUUAAGAGGAAUAAUGACAUGGAUAAUGUGACGGAUGUCUACUACCAAAGAGGGAAAUUAACAUCUUCUGUCCUCCCCAUCUUCUCUCUCCUAUACGACUGAUCGUUAAUAUCCCCACCUCACGUUAGAAACCUUGGACAGAUCAGAUCCGUCCUGAGCCCUGUCGUCAAGCUCAUUGAUCCAGUCGUCGAAUCCGGUUACUGAUUUCAGGUCAUCAGGGAUUGUGGAGUCCUCGAGAAGUGGAUCGGAGAAGGAAUUGUCGUCGGUGGAGAGGUAGAGAGGGUCGGAGUUGCGGUCGGAGGUGAGGCGGCUGGGGAGGAGAGAGACUGAGAUCCACACCAUCACCAUCACUGUUCAUCAUAUUCAACUUGAAACUCAGAUUUCCAACCCAAAUCUUCAAUACCACCAUAUCAGAAAAUAGAAAAAAAAAAUCAUAAUCUAAAUGUGAAAAGGAGACAGAAAAGGCUUUCAGCCAAACAAGCCGUCCCCUUUUGCUUCCAUGGGGAUUAGAUCGGAGAUUGGAAAUCAUGACUCCUAGAUCUGUUAAUUUUGAGUCUAUUUUAUCUGUAUUCAAUUAAAAUUUUAAAAGAUUUUUUUUAAGUGAUAAAUUUUUGUAGAAUUUAUAAAUUUUAAUGACUUUUAAAUUUUUUUUUAAAAUAACUUUUAUAGACUCUAUGAAAUAAAUAUAAUUAGA
RNAcentral lists this long non-coding RNA (794 nucleotides) under Panax ginseng (ginseng). RNAcentral's name for it is "long non-coding RNA (PGIN_LNC016427)". Lineage: Eukaryota; Viridiplantae; Streptophyta; Magnoliopsida; Apiales; Araliaceae. The record is from RNAcentral.